Molecule: non-coding RNA, 2344 nt
Organism: Anas platyrhynchos (mallard)
Lineage: Eukaryota; Metazoa; Chordata; Aves; Anseriformes; Anatidae
Source: RefSeq, a predicted model, not a curated record
CAUUUGGCUGCUAACAUACCAGACUACACAUAUACAGAACACUGGUAAGAUUCCUGAUUACUUACACAUGUGGAAACCACUAGUAUAACAACUUUAAUUUCAGCAAUUCAGUUUCAGGUACAUUCCCAGACAACCUACGUGAAAUCAAAAGCAGAGGUGGAAAGAUCCGAGGUAAAUACUGGAGAGAGAAGAAGGCUACAGGGGAACAUGGAUGUUUGGAAAAAACUUCUUCUAUUAUGAGCUUAACUGUUGCUGCUGUGAAUUGCAGGGCAUACUUUCUUCUCCCCCUCUUUUCCUGAGGAGCGGGAGUGACAGAGCAGUUGCGGUGGAGUUCAGCUGCCCAGCCUAGUAAAACCUCCACAGGCUCACAUCUCUUCAGAUCUCCUGUGUCAUUCUGGAUAUACUGCUUCUUCGGUGCCUCUGCCUCCCAGCCAGAUCAUGGGAAGGAAGAAUGACUGAUCCUUCAUUCAGCCUGCCUGAGGGGUCCAUGUUGAUCUGAUCACAGUUUUCCAAGCUUUCCUGAGGUAUGAGUGAAACAGCACGAGGGAGAAGGCUGCAGACUGUUGGGGCAGAGUACUGCACUGAAAUGGUUUGCCAUUAAAUAGAAUAUCCCACCUCCAGAUUGAGCCCUGCCAGUCAAAUCAGCAUCACUCUCUAGCACGCCAUUUUUUGUCCUAGGAAAUAUUUUGAAGGUGCUUCAAUUUUUAUGACUCAGCGAAGUUUAGAAAACUAAGGGCCAUGGUGUCUGACCAUCCUUCAGAUUUUGCAAGGUUGUUGGGCAGAUAAGUGGGAGCCAGGAUUCCAGCUAUGCCUUCAAAACAUUGUCAUGAAUAAUUGCCCCUCUAAGACGAAGAAUGGUUGGCAGGAGCAUCAAAAAUUAUUUCUUUCUGAGCUCAGACAAGAGGUAGAAAUUGCACCAGCUUAACAUUUGACAGACCAGGAAGUGACUUCUAAUUUUCUCAUAAGUCAGAAAGUGCUUCUCCCUGUGGAAAACAUGGAAAAGCAGAAAACAGCUGACUGCCACAAGGAAUACCACGUAUUGACAAUCCCAUCUACCACCUAAUCUACCAAAAAAAAAAAAAAAAAACCAGAAGCGAAGAAUAAAAAGAGAAUAAAAGUUAGUUGUUUUUAAGAAUUGUUUUUAAAAUAUAUUUUAGAUACAGUAGUCUGAUUUUCAAGAUGGUACCAUUUUAGCUCCUUUUUAUACCCGCUGAACUCUUUACUUAACAGUAUUACUUCAAACAUUUAAGUACAUAACGAAAAAUAACAUUUCUGUCUGUAUCUAGGAAACAAGGAUGGCUCAAGGUUAUGCAUAACCACACAAAAGUUUUUAAAAAAAUUGUUGUUCUCCCAACAGAGGGCUCCAACUGUACUACGCGUAGGUACCUACUCACAACUUGUGGGAGCAGUGCACAUGGCCCACCUACUAAACAGCUUUCUACUUGAGGUUAGUACAGUCAGAAACUGUGGGCUUCUCGCUCGGCCACCCUAGCUGAGGAGGAAAUCACCUCUGCUAGAGCAGCGCAGCAGUCACCUGGAAGGCGGGGGUGGCCACCAUUUCCUCCGCGUACACCCAUGGCCGGACACCCACACGUUUGCCACCGCUUGCAGAAUCUUGCCCUAGGCAGAGCCAUCUGUGCUGUUUGCUUGUUCAUGUCAGCCCUGCAGAGAUACCACUCAAGGCAACGAAAAUCUUUGCAGGUUUUGCGUUUAAAUUAUUGAGCACGUUUAAAUGAAUUAUUGAGUACAUUUUCUGUCUGCACUGCUGGAAGUAGAGGUUCCCACACCGAAGUCGUGGACAGGUGGCCUGCACUCGCUGAACACAAAAAGGCAAUGUUAUAAACCAGGCCAAGCACCCUGUUAGGUAAUACACACCUUGAAAAAAACACCACACUUAGCUUCUUCAAACUCAUAUCAAACAUUUCUCAUCAAAACAAUGAGCAGAUAGAUCAGGAUGCAAAACUUGAAAUGGCUCGGGUGGGCCUCUCCUGGGAAGGUCAGGGUGAAGUGUUUGUUGCUUGAUAGGCCCACAGAACAUCAGGACAUCCAGGGAGAGAUGCAAUGUAGGGGUGAACUCAUGAUCAAGUGGUGGACCUGACAGUUCAGACCAUGACACAGGUUAUCCAUGAACAUAAAACAUGCUGCAGUCAAAAAAGCUGUGUGAGUACAAUCUCCACCAGGUGGCUGGAAACAUACCUGGCAGACGAAGCAACUGCCUGAAAUGCCAUCUCGGGCCUUGAAAAGUGAACUUUGUGGUGUCAUGGUACCCAAAGGAGAAUUCAGAGAAUUCAGAUAUUUUAUUUGUUUUAAUCUUUCUUUCUCUCUCUCUCUCUUUCUUUCUCUC